GUUUUGGUAACAAAACAUCUUUGAGACCAAAGACUCAAGUCACAGAGGAAAAUGAAGGCCCUAUAUCAGGCUGCUGGUCGGAUUCUCAUUACUCUGGGGAGUCUCAGCGUAUUCUCUGGAGUUAUUGCUUUUUUCCCUGUUUUUUCUCACAAGCUCUGGUUCACUGGAUGGAGUGUCCAUAUUGCUUGUCCCAUCUGGAAUGGCGCUUUGGUAGGAUCAUAUUUUAUUAAGUAUUUUGAGAGAAUAAAGGGAGAUGGGAGGGAGAGGGGGAAACAGAAUAACGUGUCCUUUAACAUUUUCCUGACAAUACAAAGAAGUCAAAAUUCUGCAGAAAACCAGAAUUCACCUUAGUACGUGGAUUUGUAUUAGUUUAUAUAUAUUAUAUGCCAAAAACUCUUGUUUAAAUUUUUUAUGUCCUUGAUGAACACAAAUACCUUUAUUUUAUUGAUUUAUUUUUUGUGGUCGAGGAUCGAACCCAUGCCUCAAGCAUGCUAGGUAGGCAAGCACUCUGCCGUUGAGCUACAAGUGCAGCCCAUAGUUAUAUUUUAAGUAUUGGGGUUUUGUUUAUAAUGUUUUAAUAUGUAUGCAUAUUUAUUGUGUGAAUCAUAAUGAAAUGUUUAAGAAACUUAAAAUUUUUAUUUUAAUCUUCUUACCUUGAUAUUCUGAGAAAAUAGAACUCAUCCUUUUGAAAUUCAAUUUACAGAUUUAGAAAAAGGCAUAAACCAUCAUACAAUUUAAAAGUGUAGAAUGAAGUAAAAUAAUUUUCAAAUUAAUAUUUCCUUAGAAAUACCAAGGUGGGCCUACAUGACCCUAAAAUUUGCAAGCCCCAAAGCUUUGUUCUCCUGCGACUUUCUUUGUACCCAACUGUUUGAACUGAAAAUAAUUCAAGAAGUGGGGUGUUGGGGGCUGGGGUUGAAGCUCAGUGGUAGAGUACUAGUCUAGCACACACGAGGCACUGGCUUUGAUCCUCAGUACCACAUAAUAAAUAAAUAAAUAAACAGACAAACAAACUAACAAAUAAAUAAAAUGUAUUGUGUCCAUCUAUAAUUAAAUUUUUUUGAACAAUAAGGCAGUGGGGUGUUGAACUUCACUGACUUCACAAUUUGCUAGGAAAGUAUGUAUGCACCUAGUCAAGUGUCUGCACUAAGUAGAUGCUUAUUUAGUAAUCUCACAGAUAAGCAACUGGCUUACCUCAGCUCCCUGAUCCAACAAAACAAGUACAACCCUCCUUGGGAGGAAAGGACUUCCACGGCAGCAUGACUUAACAGGAGUGAUGAGGGUCCCUGCCUAGUUUCUCUCCUUAUUUCCCAUGAGAUAUAUUUUCUCAUUAUCAAAUAUUCUUAUCUUCUACCAGUUACUGGAGAAUUCCAUUCUGAAGUUUUUUGAUCUUAAAGAAAUUUCUAUUAAAAUAUAGCUACUCUUGGGUGGGCUAACAUCUUAAAUCUUUAAAUAAUUGACUGGGAUGCUAUCUAAAAGUAUAACCUCUGGAAACAUAAUGUUUAACUUACUUAUGAAAUAAGUAUUUAUUGAAGAACUAUGGCAUUUGGGGGGAUUCAUAGGAAGAUCCAUCCAAGUCUUGGUCUUAAGUAGGAAUUCUGCCUUUAAUAGUGUGUGGACACAGGAAGCAGGGUGGGUGGGAGGGAAACUGAAACUUGGGUGGUGUUUUCUUUCUUCUUUUCUUUUAAAAUACAUUCUUUUACAUAUACUUCCCCCAUCUAGACCUUCCCUUCCUUUCCCCAGCACCUACCUCAAACCACACUUUCAUUCAAAGAAAUGUUUAUUGAACUAAAUACAGCAAUGGCAAUUACAUUUAUUCAAGCAGCAAUUUUUUUUUUGUUGGUGACCCAGAAUAAGAAAAAUAUUUCACACCAGGACCUGGAAUAUACAUAAAGAGACUUAACAUCUUUCUUUCUAGAUGAAUAUCGAUUUACUUAUAUCAAUAUGUGUAACAAAACUUUCACAAUACUGGGUUUUUUUAUAUGAAAUGUAUGCUGGUGAUUUUUAUUCCACUUAACUAUUUUAUUUUACAUUUCUUCCCCUUUUUGGGGGGGAUGGCCCUAGGGAUUGAAUCCAGGGGCACUACACCACGGAGUACAUUCCCAGUCCUUUUUAUAUUUUCAUUUUGAGACAGGGUCUCCCUAAUUUGCCCAGGCUGGCAUCAAACUUGUAUCCUCCUGCCUCAGCCUCCCAAGCUGCUGGGAUUACAGGUAUGCACUACCACACUCAGCUCCUAUUUAAUUAUUUUAGAAUGACUAUUAGAUAGCUGAUCCCCAAAGUUUAACAAAACUAUGAAUGUAGUCCAACCCUCCAUCCUUUUCUUUUGGUCUUUGCCUAUCCCUGAAGAGUCUGUCAAUAAAUUCAACAAAUAUUGGUAGAAUUCCGAUUAAGGUUAUAAAUACUGAAUGUAGACUUGUUCUAAGCCAAACAUCUAUUUUACCAAUAGGCCCAGGGAAAUGACAGUGUCUCCUCCAGCAGGCAGCUAGUUGAUGGCUGUUUGAUUUCAGGGGCAGCAGCGUGGAGAGGUACAGUGAGAGACAUAGGAUUUGGGGAGGUGGACCUAUGUUCAAGUUCUGACUUAAUGUUGGUACAUGAUCAAACACAGGACCCUCUGUCAGUCACUUCCUCCUUGCCUUGACCUAUAAUAAGAAUUUCAUAGGUGAGAGGAAGGCAUGUGGGAAACUGUCUAAACCUAAGCUGUUCCAUGAGAACAAACACAAAUUGAACAGAUUGUGUCAUGGAGAGCUUUGCCAAUUUUAAAGCUCUACUCAAAUGCUAGUUAAUACUCUGCCUUUCAUUGGUGCCCUGCUCUCUGUCCAAACUCUUUGUUAUUGAUCCCUUGCCACCCGCCUCACUGUCCUGUCCUGUUUCCUGAUGACCUCCUAAGUCCCCCACCCUUAACUCCUGGACCUCAUCACACAUCACUCUUUUUUCCUCCUCCUCCUCCUCCUCCAUCUCCUCCUCUUCCUCCUCCUUCUUUUUCUUUCUAUCUCUCUAUCUCUAUCUCUAUCUCUAUCGCUUUCUCUCUUUGUGGAGCUGGGAAUUGAACCCAGGGGUGCUCUGUCACUGAACUACAAUCCCAGCCCUUUUUUAUUUUAAUUAGGGUCUCACUAAAUUGCCAAGAAUUUGGAAUCUUCCUGCUUCAGCCUCCAGGAUAGCUGGGAUUACUGGUGCACCACUGUACUUUGCUUAUUGUUUGACAAAUGAAUAUUAUACAAGGAUAGGGAUAUAGUGGGCUGGGGAUAUAGCUCAGUUGGUAGAGUGCUUGCCUCACAUACACAAGGCCUUGGGUUCAACCUCCAGCACCACAAAAACAAGGACAGGGAUACACACACACACAUACACACACAAUCCUAUUUUGUUUACUGCUCUAUCUCUAUCCAGAGUCACAUACUGGGUUUUCAAUAAAUAUUAUUUGAUGAAUACUGUUGAGUAAGUGCAUGAAUCUAUGCUCUCCCUUCUGGUGGUACAGAAUAUCUUACACAGUCGAACUCUGACUAGGUUGCAAGGACUGAAGGUCAAGCUGGUAUUUAUAAUAAAACAGCAAAAAAAAAAAAAAUCUUUGUGAGAAGGAACACAAUGAGAAUGCUCACUCUUCCAAUGAUGUCUAAAUCUGGAACAAGGAGAUUCCCACCCCCCUCCACCACCUUCUGAGUUUCCUAUGGAGCCACAGUUCUAUCUGAUCGGGGUCAACUUCAAAAGUUCUCCACCUCAUUCCACAACUUCCCUUGCCAAUCACUUCAUUUGCCUCCAAAUAUGUCUUCCUCUGGUGAAAAGAUAAUUUGUACAAUUCAAUCACAUCAACAUUUCCUUUUGCAAAUGACUCCAUAUUUCUUUUGAAACUGUAAGAUAGAUUUUGCAUGCGAUACAGUACCUGUAUUUGUUCAACACCUUUUAGUCAAGACUUUCUAAGUACUCCACAAAUAUGAGGCUUCAGACUCUAACUCCAUUCUGACAGCCACAUGACACAUACUUUUCCCAGAAUCUCUGAGCUAGGUUAUUUAAAGGCAUCAGCAGCUGGUAAGUAUGCAGAGAGGAGAUCUUUGUGCCUUAAGGACUGAGCCCCACUAAUCCUGGAAAAUGUGGCUUGCAGAUGAAACUCUGCUGAAGAGACUGAAGUACAGUGAAUUUGAUCCCACUACCCAGGCCUGGAGAAGCCAGCGAUUUGGCCCAAUGGCAAGUGGCAGCAGUGCACCCAGAACUCCGCUGAGAAACAGGAAUUGGGGAGAAAGGUCAGGGCUCCACUUAGUCACGCAGGCCUCGGUUUCCUUAAGGGUUACAGGAGGGCCUUGAUUACCCAAUCGUUCAUGUCUCUUGAUAGCUUCAACAAUCACAACUCCCAACCCUCGGGUGGUGUCAAAGGAACGCCGGAGCUAGACAGCAGAUAAAUAAAAACAGUUUUAAAAAACAAUAAUAUUGAAAUAGAGAAAAAGAGACCUCAGUAUAGAACUGGGUCCAAUCCCAAAUACAGUAUUAUCAAGUGGGAAUUUAUAGCUCCAAAUCAGAGUGGGGAUCAGUGGAUAGAAAAGGAUCGAGAGGAAACAUGGGUGACAAAGGGAAUUCUGGCUAAAAUGACCUAUUGGGAUCCUGCUGCAGGUGACCAGACAUCUCUGGGGGAAGAUGGAGGAUUAGGAAGCCAAACAGAUUCUGAGUGUGAACAGACAUUACAGAUACUGAGGCUGGGGGUUUCUUGCCAAACUGAUUUGAAUUCUUGUUAAAAUGGAAUCUUACAAGGAAGGGCACAGGGGCCAAGGAAAAGGUUCAGGAACCUAACUAAAGUUUGCUCGAGCAAAGAAUCUUCGUCAAUUUUCUGCUAAGAGAACCUAAGCCUCUUUUCGUUCAGUGUGAUUGAAUAGGAAUUAAUCAUCUUGUCACCAAAACCAAUUCUGUCUUCUCUGACUUCUCUUUCACUGUCUUGGAAACACAGUUUCAAACCCUAGGAGUAGAUUUUUGACUCAAUACUUUUCUCUAAAUUAGCCCUUCUCAAACUGUAGAAAUCACUGGAGGAUCAUGUUGAGAUGCAGAUCCUGAUUUAGUAGGUUUGCUUGGGGCCUGAGGGUCUGCAAGUCUAGGGAGUUCUGGGGAUGCCCUUGCUGCUGGUCCCAGGAUGGCACUUGAGCCACAGUGCCCUUAACCAGCCCAGGCCCAGCCCCAGUCCAGUUAGCUGUCCUGUGACUUUGAUUUUGUCUCUGAGGCAUAUUCCUAUACAUUCCUUCUCCCUGCGCACCUUUCCCACCCUUUAUCACUUCCCACCCCUACUCAGAGGUGGUAUCCAGAUAACUUCAAUAGCCAAACUGUGCCAAUCUCUCCAUUAGUGGAUUUAUAAAUCCAAUCUAUUGAGGAGCUAACAGCAUUUACAACAAAUAGAACAGAAUAGAGAAUAGUAGAGUGUAUAUCACGUAGAGUAAAGGUUAAGUGCUAUUUUUGUUAGAUAUAAAAAGAUUUAUAAGUAGGUCAUGGUACAAGAUAUAUUACUGUGAGCAGAGUUUUUUAAAAAGAGAGAAAGAAAGCCUGAAGAACCAGGGUCCUGCAGAGACCUCGGAGCCUCACUGCAUUCUAACAGGCAUGCGUGCCCCAUCUGGCUCAUCUUUCUAAACCUUCCUGGAAGUCAAGCUAGCUGUUUCUUCAGCAUCUUUUGGCAUUGCUUUAUUAUCCCCAAACAAAAUCCAGACACACUAGCCUAAUUUUUGAGGCCUCCCUACCCUGAUGUCACAUGAUUCUGAACCCCAAUCUUCUCUUAUUCACAGGGAGGGAGGUCUGGGCUCCUUACUCCCUGCUCCUUAAGCAGGAUGCCACUCCCUCACCUGCCCACAUGCUGAUCCCACAGCCAGGACUGCCUGCCCUCCCUCCGUCACCUCCAGAGAUCAUGGGUAUCCCUCAAACUUGCCUCACAUCCUGCUGUUCAUUAUGCCUUCAUCAUGGAUGAAAGUGGUAACUCGUCACCUAGGCUUUUUGGUGUAGAAAAUGCCGUUCCUCUUGCCUAAUUUUGUGGAUAUUCUUAUAUGUGCCUUAUUUUCAUACCUGGGCUAUAAAUGCUAAUGAAAGUUGCAAUUAUGAUUUAUGCAAAUAUGAUUUGGUGGUCUUCCUCAUCUGAUUUAGCCUCCCUGUAUUUCAUUUGAGAAGUGGAGAGAAUGUCUCUGAUAGGGUCAUUAUGAGGAUUAAGCAAAUUAACACAUGUCAAGUUGUUUAGCAUAGUGUCUGCUAUAUAUUAAGCACUCCGUGAAUGUUAACAGUUAUUAUCAUUAUUUUAUCUGCUUUGGGCCCAUCUUAUCCCUUGUUUAUAGUAGACCCACAAUAGAUGCUUAGGCGAAUAAAUUACCCCAUAUAAAUAUGAUGGCUUUAAAAGUUUCUAUUUUUGUUUUGACUGUUCCCAGCUUCCUUCAAUUCAUCUGCUUCUGGGAACUGCAUCCUUUACUUAAGCAAUUUAAAGAUUUAGUGGGAGGACUCACAAUUACCAUGCAAUCAAAAUGUUAGCAGCAAUUGUUGUGAAACCCAAGUUGGUGGAAGUGCCCAGAAAGUAAGCCAAUAGCUGUCGAGAAUAGCUGAGGGAGGAUGGUGCUUUUCUGCUCCUUGCUGUUCACCCUCUCCACUCUGUCUUUCCCCACAGCUGCACUGUGAUUUUUUGACCUCCCAGACACCUUCUCUCUCACCUCUCCCUGGACUUGUCUUGCCUACUGUCAAAUCUCUUCCUUUUUCUUUCAAUUUCCUCCAUCCCUAUCUAAAAAGAAAAUUUGCAUAAAAGAAGUGCAAGAAAGAAAAGGGGACAGCUGUAACUCCUGUCACAGGGGGGAAAUACCCUGCACGGAUCCCCCAUCCCUGGCAAGGGGAAUCAGAGAUGAUGGGCAUACUCAGCCCUUGAGUCACUACCCCAUCCACCAUGCCAUCCGCAGGAUGGAUUUAACAAAAGACUGAACUGCAUUUAUACUCAACCGACUCUGUGAAAGAUCUUUUUCAAAGUUUUGUGUAAACAAAGCAAAAUUCAAGCUGGCAGCUACAACAGAAGUCACAGGCAAUUGCACCUCUGCAGCAUUUUUUCUACGUUUGAAGGGAAAAAAAAACAGCUCAUGCUAAAGUAAUUAAGGCAACCUGGAAUCUAAGCAUCUGAUAAUGUCAGUUAUCUUCUAGUUAAGCCAGCAGAGGGGGGGUGAGGCUGUCUCCUUUGCUUUCAUCUUGCUUCCACAUUUCUCUCUCUGAUUAAUGACAUUGGAGUGAUGUGUCAAUUGAGGGCCAGGCCUCUGAAAGCCUAGCCUAGCCCCAGGCUUGCCCCAUGGCAUCAGUUACAAUUGCUCUUAUUAAUUCUCAGGUUUUGUACUAUUUAUGCAGGCUCAAUCUCCAUAGGGUCCCUUGGAAACUCCUCUUGCAGAAUCAAGCCAGGAAGCUCUUCUGACUACAAAUGGUUCUGUUUUUAUCCAUGGAGUUUUAUGAUAUGGCCAUGCCAAGUCUGGAAUUUCAGGCCCGACUAAUGAGAGGUUUUGUGAGAGUGAAUGUGUGUGUAUUUGUGUGUGUGCGUGUGUGCAUGUGUGUAUGUGUUGCGCUCUCUCAAAUCUCUAAAUCCAACAUUCAAAAUACAAUAUGCCAGAAAAAUGAAAAGCUAAGUCUCCAAACCAUAAAUAUGCCAAAGCUCGAACUACAAACCCUGCACACCACAAAGUCAUAUUGGUAAAAACGCUGAUUUCUCCCCUUGAACUUGCCAGUUCUAUAUGUACCGUUGUGUUUAUCUCUCUAUUCAAAACCAAAAUUUUCCUUUUUUUAGAUCUUUCCACUUUUAAUAUCUUAUUUUAAGCACGCCUCUUCCUGGUUUUCUCUCUUGACCUCAAAACAUUCCUUGGUCAAGCCCAGAAUGAUUUAUAUGGAUUGGGAAUAAGCAAUUUGUAAUCUCAAUAACCACAAAAGUCUCCUGCAUCAGACCUGGUGCUGAAUCAAAGAUGAGCUCAGAGAUCUUUUUUUUUUUUUCCGUUAUCUAUUGCUCAACUCUGGUGGCAACAUUCCCUCCUUUGUUAACCAUUUCCAUUCUGUAUGUUGGGCCUUUCUCCCUCAAUGGUGACUAGAAAGAAAAACUGUCUUUUGAAAAGCUGGACACAACUGCACCCAGAACAAUAAAGGCCACAUCACACAUUCAUUCCAGUGAUAAUCUUUGUUGUUGGAGAAACAGAGAUCGUUUAUUUGUAGCCCAUCAGCAGACCCAGGCCUUGGAAUCUCAGGGGAAAAAAAGCAAGUAGCUAAAGAGAAAUGUCACUGCUGGGAGGGAUCUUAGGGCUCUGUGACAGGUCUCCAUUCUGGUCCUUCCCAUUUGCAAUUUUAGCAAUUUGCAAGAAAGAUGAAAAAGAGCCACUUAUUCAAAAUAAAACAUUCGUCCAGGGGUAUAAAACCAAGCUUGUAUUACGGUGACACGGUAUCUGAGAUUUUCACUGGGAUGGCGAAGGCAAGACCAAGAAUGUAAAAUCGAGCUGGUGUGAAUCAGGUCUUUCUGACAUUAAUGGCUUAUUUUCUUCAUUGUCAUCACAGUUUCUUCUUCAGAGGAAGAGGAGAUCAGAGCCAUAAAUCCAUUUAGCCAUUUGCUGUUCCUUCUAGUUUGUGAUAAAGUCGUCAAACUGUGAGACAGAUUGAACUCUUUCCAGAGGUACCUUCUAUUGUGGAUGUUACUUUUCCAAUUUUCUUUUCACAGGCCAUCACAGCUGGUGUGCUUGUACUGUCAGCUUACAAAGAGUGGACCCACAGACACCUGGUAAACACAGAGACGUUAAGUAGGACAGCAGAGUGGAUUUGAAGGUUAAGCACCACUCAUUUAGGAUGGCACACAGAGAAUGAUUUCCACUUAUCAAGGAAUUUGAUCUAAUUGUGACCGUAUUAUGAUGGAUUUCAGCAAUAAACUUUAUGCUUUAAAUUAAUAUUUUUUUUUAUCUGAUUUCUACUCCAAACCAUUUCUACCAUGCCUUGUAGUAAUUACUGUCUUUGGGGAGGACAGAGUCAAUGGAUAUUCGAGCUCCUGAAUUUAAUUUUGAGAGAACAGAGCUACAGGCUCUUCUGCUUUUAAUAAUUUUUAAUUUGUCUUCCUUCCUUCCUUCCUUUCUUCAUUUCUUUCUUUCUCUCUUUCAAUUUUCUUUAUGAUGCUGGGGAUUGAAUUUAGAGUCUCUCCCAUGCUAGGCAAAUGCUCUACCACCAAGCCAUACCCUUUGCCCUAAAGUAAUGUUCCUUUUAGUGUCAGCUCCUGUAUUAGAGGUCUCCUUCUCAUCUCUCUGUUACUUUUCUGGAAAAGGAUGAAAAAAAUCCAUAUCUGGCAUUUCAACAGUAUAGAGCCAGGUAAUCCCAGUGCGUAGAAAGUCUACCAUAUCCAAUGAUAGACUUUAUUCCCAUGGUUAAGCCUGUGCUUAAUGUAUGUGUGAAUCAACAAGAGAUCUGGCUAGAGUGCAGACAGUGAUUCCACAGAUCUGGAUUAAGGUUGAGAGUCUUACUUUUCUGACAGGCUCACCGGGGAUGUCAAUGCUGUGGGAUAGCGGAUCACACCCCAAGUAGCAAGAGAAGUUCCUAGAGAAGGCAUUCUAUUUUCUAUUCUAUUUUAGAAUUUUAUUUCUAUCUCUAUUCUAUUCUCUCAUCUUGGAUUAUCCCAUCAGAGACUGGUUCUAUUUUUUUUUUUUUGAACUGGGUAUUGAACCCAGGGGUGCUUAACCACUAAGCCAUAUCCCCAUGCCUUUUCAUAUUUUUAUUUUGAGACAGAUACUUGCUAAAUUGCUGAGGCUGGCUUUGAACUCACCAUCCUCUUGCCUCAAUCACCAGAGCAGCUGGGAUUAUAGGCAUGUGCUACCACACCAAGCUACCAGGUUCUCUGUGCAUAUGGGAGAUAAACAACUGUUUGUUGAAUUGAAUUGAUUUCAUUUUUGCCCCAGUUGGCUGACCUGUUUCUCUCCAAAAUGUAAAUUGGAGGCAAGAAUGUGAGAGCCUACAAAGAAAGUUGAAAUCAGAUGCGGUAGCACACACCUGUAAUCCCAACUACUGGGGAGGUUGAAGCAGAAGGAUCACAAGUUCAAGGCCAGCAUCAACAACUUAGUGAGGCCUGGUCUCAAGAUAAAAUACAUUUUACAAAAAGGGCUAGGUACAGUGCCCCUGGGUUCAAUCCUCACUAUCAAAGGAAAAAAAAAUAAAUGAUAAAUAAAUAAAUAAGCAAAUAAAUAAAACAAAAAAAGAUUGUGACCCAAUUCCUCCUUUUCCAGUAGGAGAGAUUAAUACCUGGCAACUCCUUCUUCGCAUUGCUAAAAAGUUUUUGAAAUAGCUCAUCCUCACAUUAACACUUUGUCUCUGUUUUAUUUUCAGUGGGAAGCUAGCUUCACCUUUGUGAUUCUGAGCAUUAUGGGAUGUCCACUUCAUUUUGCAGUAGCCUUGGAAUCUGCUCUCCUUGGUCCAUAUUGCUUCUAUUCAUUUUCAGGGAUCGCAGGGACCAAUUAUCUCGGUUAUGCCAUUGCCUUUCCUUUUCCAUAUGCGAAAUUCCCAUCGGUUUGCGUGGACCCCCUUAACUAUGAAGAGUUCCACCUGACGCUUCAAGUCCUUGACUUGUGUCUGAGCUUUGCCCUGCUCUGUGCGUCUCUGACAGUGUUCAUCAAACUUUCUGCAAGACUAAUCCAGCAUGGACACGUAAAUGUAAGUUUCAGCAAAGGGGAACGUGGUGCUUACGCAAUCCUGAAUGGUAAAACAGAAGGUCUGGUAUAGAAAUACUAAAUCUCUCCUUUGCCAGCAUUUCCUAUAGAACCAUGUUGUCCCGUGUCUGGCACAUGAUAGGUGCUCAAUAAUUAUUUUUGAGUGAACAAAUGGAAAUACGUUGAUAUAAAACUAAAAGCACAGCUAUAGGUAGUACUACCCAAUUUUUGUCUCAAUCGAUAUUAAAUUUUUUUUUUCUAAAAACAAGAUAUGGCUGCACACUUUACCACUUUUAUUUUACAUAGUACUGAAAAUUCUAGCCAGAGCAAUCAGGCAAGAAAAAGAAAAAAUAAAAGUCAUCCAAUCAGAAAAGAAAAACUAAAUUGUCUGUUUGAAGAUGACAUGAUCUUAUGUGUAGAAAACACUAAAGACUCCAGCAAAAAACUGUUAGAGCUGAUAAACAAAUGGAGUGUACUUACAGAAUACAAAAUCAACAUACAAAAAUCAGUUACUUUAAAGACUAGGCAUGGAUCCACCGUACGACCCAGCUAUACCACUCCUCAGCAUUUAUCUUAAAGAAUUAAAGUCAUCUUUCUCUAGUGAUUCAUGCAUACUCAUGUUUAUAGCGGCACAAUUUACAAUAGACAAACUAUGGAACCAACAUACAAGUGUCCAUCAACAUGUGAAUGGAUAAAGAAAAUGUGGCAUAUAUACACAUAUAUACACUGGACACCCACAAGCAACAGAAUACACAAAGUAAUUUUAUUCAGCCAUAAAGAAAAACAAAAUUGUAUCAUUUGCAGGAAAAUGAAUGGAACUUGAGACCAUUAAGUUAAGCAAAAUAAGCCAAAGUCAGAAGGCCAAGGUUUGAAGGUUUUCUCUCAUAUGAGGAAAAAGGGGGGGAAAAAAAGGUAUGUGAUGGGGAAAGGAGGGUGAUGGCCUGAGAAGCAAAGGAGAUCAGUAGACUAGAACAAGGGGACCCACAGGUGGGAGGAAGGAGGGAAGAAGUACUGGGAAGGGUAUUGGCCAGCUUAUAUUGUUACACUGUUUCUUAUACUAAUAGGUAACAACAAAUCCCACCAUUAUAUAUAACUAUAAUCACCAAUGAAAAAGAAAAAAAAAUCAGUUGCUGUAUUUUUGGGUGGUGCUAAAGGAUUGAAACCCAAAGUCUUGAUCAUGCUAGUCAAGUACUCUACCACUGAGCCCAAAUUACAUUUUUGUACUCUGACAGUAAGCAAUCCAAAAAGAAAAAGAAAACAACCCCAUUUAUAAUAGCAUCAAUAAGAAUAAAGGAUGGAAAAGAUGUGUAUACUGAAAAAAAUAUAAAACACUGGUGGAAGACAUUGAAGACACAAAUGGAAAGCUAUUUCAUGUUGCUGGAAUAGAGGAAUUAAUAUUGUUAAAAUGUUCAUUCUGCUCAAAACAAUCUCUAGAUUCUGUGUAAUCCCCAUCAAACCUGCAAUGGCAUUUUUCACAAAAAUAGAAAAAAGCAACCUUAAAAUUCACAUGGAUCCACAAAAGACCAUGAAGAGCUAAAGUAAUGAGAAAUAAAAAAGUUGGAAGCAUCACACUUCUGAUUGUGAACCAUAUUACAAAAUUAUAGGAAUUGAAACGCUGUGGUCCUGGCAAAACCCAGACAACAGACCAAUGAAACAGAAUACAGAGCUCAGGAAUAAACAACUGGUCAAGUAAUAUUUGAUAAGAGUGCCAGAAAUACACAUGGGAAAGUGUAGUCUCUUCAAUAAAUGGUGUUGAGAAAACUGGACACCCACAGGCAACAGAAUGAAAUUGAGCCCUUAUCUUACAAUAUGCAUAAAAUUUAACUUGAAAUGGAAUAAAGACAUAAAUGCAAGACCAGAAGCUACAAAAUUAUUAGAAGAAAACAUAGAGGAAAAGCUCUUUGACAUCAUCAGCCUAAGUAAUGAUUCUUCCAAUAACUACACUAAAAGAGCCGCCAAUAAAAGCAAAGCUAAACAAAUGAGAUUACAUCAAACUGAAAUGCUAUAAUGAACCUAUAAAAAAGGAAAAAAAAAUACUUGCUUUCUUUUUUUGGUGGUGCUAAAGAUUGAAACGCAAAGUCUUGGUCAUACUAGGCAGGGGUUCUACCACUGAGCACUUGAAAGAAACAAUCAAUAAAAUGAACAGGCCUGUAGAAUGGGAGAAAAUAUUUGCAAGCCAUAUAUCUGAUAAGGAGGUAAUAUCCAAAAUAUGUAAGGAACUCAUACAACUUAAUAGCAACGAAACCAAACAAACAAAAAGAUGACCAUAUAGUCCAGCAAUCCCACUUAUGGGUAUAUAUUUGAAGGAAACAAAAGCAUAUCUUGAAGAGAUAUCUGCAUUCCAAUGUUCAUUGCAGCAUUGUUUGUAAUAGCCAAGACAUGGAAACAACCAAUAUGAAUGGACAAAGAAAAUGUGUUGUAUAUUUUCAGAGAAAUAUUAGUCAGCCUUAAAAAAGAAGGGAAUUCUGCCAUUUACAACAACAUGGAUGAAACUUGACCCGUGGUAAGUGAAUUAAAUCAGGCAGAGAAAGACGAAUACCAUAUAACUUCACUUAUGUGUGGAAUCUGAAAGAAUCAAACUUGCAGAAACAGAGUAGUAUAAUGAUUGCUAGGGGCUGGGAGUUGGGGAAAUGGAGAUAUUUUGGUCAGACUAAAAACUUUCAGUGAUAAGAUGAAUAAGUAGAGGAGCUAAUGUCCAAUGUUAUGACUAUUGCUAACAACCCUGUGCUGUAUACAUGAAAUUUGCUGAGAGUAAACCUUAAUUCUUAACACACACACACACACACACACACACACACACACUGAUCAUGUGAGUUGAUAGCUAACUUGAUUGUGGUAAAUAUUUCAAAUCGUCACGUUGUAUACCUUAAAUUAUUACAAUAAAAUAUUACUUGUCAUUUAUAUCUCAAGAAACUGGGAAAAAAACUGAAGUAAAGCACAUCGAACUUUUUAUAAGUAAUGAAUAUGCAUCCCCUUAUCUUUCCUAAGUUUGAGGGUCAUAAGAAAAAAAAUUUCCCUGGGAAAAACAUAGGUUAAGAUAAACUAACCUUGAAUUUUAAACUUAAACUUUUACAUGAUGCUUUGCCAUGUUACUU
This 13720-nucleotide long non-coding RNA is filed under the name Marmota monax (woodchuck). Lineage: Eukaryota; Metazoa; Chordata; Mammalia; Rodentia; Sciuridae. The record is from RNAcentral.